RNAcentral lists this transfer RNA (69 nucleotides) under Rattus norvegicus (Norway rat). It matches the Rfam family "tRNA". Rfam says of the family: Transfer RNA (tRNA) molecules are approximately 80 nucleotides in length. Their secondary structure includes four short double-helical elements and three loops (D, anti-codon, and T loops). Lineage: Eukaryota; Metazoa; Chordata; Mammalia; Rodentia; Muridae. The record is from Rfam by way of RNAcentral.
GGGGAUUUAGCUCAGUGGUAGAGCACUUGCCUAGCAAGCACAAGGCCCUGGGUUCGGUCCUCAGCCCCC